This 621-nucleotide ribosomal RNA is filed under the name uncultured Thelephoraceae. Its description in RNAcentral is "eukaryotic LSU rRNA". The stretch from base 207 to 361 matches the Rfam family "5.8S ribosomal RNA". The record is from RNAcentral. Lineage: Eukaryota; Fungi; Basidiomycota; Agaricomycetes; Thelephorales; Thelephoraceae.
CAUUACUGAAUUGCCAACACGAGUUGUUGCUGGCUCUCAACUUGGGGGCAUGUGCACGCUCUGUUUGUAUAUCCACUCACACCUGUGCACCUUCUGUAGUUCUGUGGCUGAGAGGACUCUGUCCUCCUGCCGUGGUUCUACAUCUUUACACACACACUGUAAUAAAGUCUUAUGGAAUGUAUGUCGCGUCUAACGCAAUACAAUACAACUUUCAGCAACGGAUCUCUUGGCUCUCGCAUCGAUGAAGAACGCAGCGAAAUGCGAUAAGUAAUGUGAAUUGCAGAAUUCAGUGAAUCAUCGAAUCUUUGAACGCACCUUGCGCCCUUUGGCUAUUCCGAAGGGCAUGCCUGUUUGAGUAUCAUGAACACCUCAACUCUCAUGGUUCGCCGUGAUGAGCUUGGACUUUGGAGGUCUUGCUGGCCUGUGGUCGGCUCCUCUCAAACAAAUCAGCUUGCCAGUGUUUGGUGGCAUCACAGGUGUGAUAAAUAUCUACGCUUGUGGUUUUCUGCCAGAUAGCCUUCAGCAAUGGAGGUUCAUUGGAGCUCAUAAAUGUCUCUCCUCAGCGAGGACAGCUUUUGAACGUUUGAUCUCAAAUCAGGUAGGACUACCCGCUGAACUUAA